This 466-nucleotide ribosomal RNA is filed under the name uncultured bacterium. RNAcentral describes it as "partial 16S ribosomal RNA". It matches the Rfam family "Bacterial small subunit ribosomal RNA", at positions 28 to 507 of the family's 1533-position model. The record is from RNAcentral.
GAUGAACGCUGGCGGCGUGCUUAACACAUGCAAGUCGAACGGUAAAGCCCAGCUUUCUUGGUGUGCUCGUGGCGAACGGGUGAGUAACACACGAGUAACCCGUCCUUUUCUCUGUGAUAAGCCUUGAAAACUCUGUCUAAUAUCGCAUAGGAGCGUUCACCGCACGUGGGGUGUUGGGAAGAUUUGUCGGUUUUGGAUGGACUCGCGGCGUAUCAGCUUGUUGGUGUGGUAAUGGCUCACCAAGGCGACGACGGGUAGCCGGCCUGAGAGGGUGACCGGCCACACUGGGACUGAGAUACGGCCCAGACUCCUACGGGAGGCAGCAGUGGGGAAUAUUGCACAAUGGGCGGAAGCCUGAUGCAGCGACGCCGCGUGAGGGAUGACGGCCUUCGGGUUGUAAACCGCUUUCGGUAGGGAAGAAGCGAGAGUGACGGUAACUGGAGAAGAAGCACCGGCUAACUACGUG